This 606-nucleotide ribosomal RNA is filed under the name uncultured bacterium. Its description in RNAcentral is "bacterial SSU rRNA". The stretch from base 1 to 519 matches the Rfam family "Bacterial small subunit ribosomal RNA", at positions 338 to 873 of the family's 1533-position model. The record is from RNAcentral.
CCUACGGGAGGCAGCAGUGGGGAAUCUUGCGCAAUGGGCGAAAGCCUGACGCAGCCAUGCCGCGUGAAUGAUGAAGGUCUUAGGAUUGUAAAAUUCUUUCACCGGGGACGAUAAUGACGGUACCCGGAGAAGAAGCCCCGGCUAACUUCGUGCCAGCAGCCGCGGUAAUACGAAGGGGGCUAGCGUUGCUCGGAAUUACUGGGCGUAAAGGGAGCGUAGGCGGAUAGUUUAGUCAGAGGUGAAAGCCCAGGGCUCAACCUUGGAAUUGCCUUUGAUACUGGCUAUCUUGAGUUUGGGAGAGGUGAGUGGAACUCCGAGUGUAGAGGUGAAAUUCGUAGAUAUUCGGAAGAACACCAGUGGCGAAGGCGACUCACUGGCCCAAUACUGACGCUGAGGCUCGAAAGCGUGGGGAGCAAACAGGAUUAGAUACCCUGGUAGUCCACGCCGUAAACGAUGAGUGCUAGUUGUCGGCAUGCAUGCAUGUCGGUGACGCGAGCUACGCAUUAAGUACACUCCGCCGUCGGGGAGGUACGGUCGCGAGAAUUAAACUACGAAGGAAGUUAGUACGGCGNGAGACGUGCCGACGGACGACGACGAGGGAGGAGG